RNAcentral lists this ribosomal RNA (253 nucleotides) under uncultured bacterium. RNAcentral's name for it is "partial 16S ribosomal RNA". It matches the Rfam family "Bacterial small subunit ribosomal RNA", at positions 524 to 776 of the family's 1533-position model. The record is from RNAcentral.
UACGUAGGGUGCGAGCGUUAAUCGGAAUUACUGGGCGUAAAGCGUGCGCAGGCGGUUCGACAAGUCCGAUGUGAAAGCCCCGGGCUCAACCUGGGAAUGGCAUUGGAAACUGGCGGGCUGGAGUGUGGCAGAGGGGGGUGGAAUUCCGCGUGUAGCAGUGAAAUGCGUAGAGAUGCGGAGGAACACCGAUGGCGAAGGCAGCCCCCUGGGCUGACACUGACGCUCAGGCACGAAAGCGUGGGGAGCAAUCCGG